RNAcentral lists this ribosomal RNA (2094 nucleotides) under Triticum aestivum (bread wheat). RNAcentral's name for it is "partial small subunit ribosomal RNA". Lineage: Eukaryota; Viridiplantae; Streptophyta; Magnoliopsida; Poales; Poaceae. The record is from RNAcentral.
AUGGCUCGCCGCGCCGACCUCCACCUCGCCGCCCUCGUCGUGCUGCUAGCCGCCGCUCCCGCGCUCUCCGCCGCGGCCGGCACCAUCGUAUUCACCACGCUCGGCCGCACCCGCUACGCCUUCGACGUCUACGCCCUCCCGCUCGCCCCCUCCCUCUCCGCCUCCCCUGCCCCAGAGCUCCGCCUCACCGACGGCGCCUCCGUCAACUACAACGGCAACUUCGCGCCCUCCUCCGCGGCGCUGCUCUUCGUCUCCGAGCGCAACGGAUCCCUCAACGUCUACCUCACCCCCGCCCCGCCCUCCUCCUCCUCUGCCUCCCGCCGCGAGGCGCUCGAGGAGGAGAACUCGGCGCCCCCGACGCCGCUGCUGCCCUGGGACCCCGUCGCGCUGCGGGACCGCCCGGCGCUCACCCGCGACGGCUCCCGCCUCGUCUACGUCUCCACCGCGGCCCCCGCGCCCGCCCCGCGCCGGAGCUGGGCGGCCGUCUACGCCACCCACCUCCCCUCCGGCCGGGCCACCCGGCUCACCCCGCCCGGCGUCGCCGACUUCAGCCCCGCCCUCUCGCCCUCGGGGGACUGGACCGCCGCCGCCUCCCCCGGCGAGGCCGGCUGGGCCGGCGAGGUGCAGGACCUCCGCACCGACGUCUACGUCUUCCGGACCGACGACGGCUCCCGGCGCAAGCUGCUCGUCAAAGACGGCGGCUGGCCCUGCUGGGCCGACGACGCCACGCUCUUCUUCCACCGCCGGGACAGCGACGGCUGGUACGGCGUGUACCGCGCCAAGAUCGAGGUCUCCGAUGACGGGCUCCUGGCGGCGGCCUCGUCCGUGGAGCGGGUCACCCCGCCGGGGUUCCACGCCUUCACGCCCGCGGCGUCGCCCGGCGCGCCGGGGCUCGUCGCGGUGGCCACCAGGCGACCCGGCUCCGACUACCGGCACAUCGAGGUGAUCGAUCUGACCAGCGGCGCCAACAACGCCGCCUACUUCGAGGUCACCAGGCCCGUGGCGCCGCGGGCGCACCACUUCAACCCGUUCGUCUCGCCGGACGGCGCGCGCGUCGGGUACCACCGGUGCCGGGGCAGCGGGAACGGGGACUCGCCGCUGCUGCUGGAGAGCCUCAAGAGCCCGGCGCCGGAGUCGCUGUUCAGGAUCGACGGGUCGUACCCUUCCUUCUCGCCCGACGGCAAGAGGAUCGCCUUCGUGGGGCUGCCGGGGCUGUACGUGGUGAACUCCGACGGCUCCGGCGGCCGCCGCAAGAUCUUCUCCGGGAACGCGUUCCCCACGUCGUGGGACUGGAAGAGGAAAGGGGUGAUCUACACCAGCAUCGGGCCGGACUUCGCGAGCGAGGGCACGGAGGUGGACGUGGUGGCCGUGUCCCUCGGCGACGAGGACGACGGCGGCGGCGGCGGCGUCUCUCAGAUUUCCAUCAAGAAGCUCACAAUCGGAGGCGAGAACAACGCGUUCCCGUCGCCGUCGCCGGACGGCAAGUGGCUGGUGUUCCGGUCGGGGAGGUCCGGGCACAAGAACCUGUACAUCAUGGACGCGGAGGACGGCGAGGCCGGCGGCAUCCGGCGCCUGACGGACGGCCCAUGGACCGACACCAUGUGCAACUGGUCGCCGGACGGCGAGUGGAUCGCCUUCGCCUCCGACCGGCACAACCCGGGCGGCGGCAGCUUCGCCAUCUACAUGAUCCACCCGAACGGCACCGGGCUGCGGCGGGUGGUGCACAGCGCCGACGGCGGCAGGACGAACCACCCCUGGUUCAGCCCGGACUCCAAGCGCAUGGUGUUCACCUCGGACCUCGCCGCCGUGUCCGCCGAGCCCAUUUCGAACCCGCACCACUAUCAGCCCUACGGCGAGAUCUUCACCAUCAACAUCGACGGCUCGGGGCUCCAGCGGCUCACGCACAACUCGUUCGAGGACGGCACGCCGUCGUGGACGGCGCAGUUCCUCGAGCCCCGGGACGUCGGGGAGACGCUGCGAGCCUCCGGGAGCUGCGAGUUCCAGGACUGCCACUGGCUCAGCAUAGAGGACGAUGCCCAGCCUGCACAUUAUGGCCUUCGCUAUGCCCAUGGCAACAAGAAGAUCGGCUGCUAG